CCUACGGGAGGCAGCAGUGAGGAAUAUUGGUCAAUGGACGAGAGUCUGAACCAGCCAAGUAGCGUGAAGGAUGACUGCCCUAUGGGUUGUAAACUUCUUUUAUAUGGGAAUAAAAUGUUCCACGUGUGGGAUUUUGUAUGUACCAUAUGAAUAAGGAUCGGCUAACUCCGGGCCAGCAGCCGCGGUAAUACGGAGGAUCCGAGCGUUAUCCGGAUUUAUUGGGUUUAAAGGGAGCGUAGGUGGAUUGUUAAGUCAGUUGUGAAAGUUUGCGGCUCAACCGUAAAAUUGCAGUUGAAACUGGCAGUCUUGAGUGCAGUAGAGGUGGGCGGAAUUCGUGGUGUAGCGGUGAAAUGCUUAGAUAUCACGAAGAACUCCGAUUGCGAAGGCAGUUCACUGGACUGCAACUGACACUGAGGCUCGAAAGUGUGGGUAUCAAACAGGAUUAGAUACCCUUGUAGUC
RNAcentral lists this ribosomal RNA (460 nucleotides) under uncultured bacterium. RNAcentral describes it as "partial 16S ribosomal RNA". It matches the Rfam family "Bacterial small subunit ribosomal RNA", at positions 338 to 795 of the family's 1533-position model. The record is from RNAcentral.